AACAUCGCGCACCUGCGGGAACCUGCGGAAGGAUCAUUACAGAGUUGCAAAACUCCCUAAACCAUUGUGGACGUUACCUAAACCGUUGCUUCGGCGGGCGGCCCGGGUCCUUCCCGGCGCCCCUCGGCCCUCGCGGGCGCCCGCCGGAGGUAAACCAAACUAUUGCAUUGUAUGGCCUCUCUGAGUCUUCUGUACUGAAUAAGUCAAAACUUUCAACAACGGAUCUCAGAUCGGAAGAGC
This 240-nucleotide unclassified non-coding RNA is filed under the name soil metagenome. Its description in RNAcentral is "partial contains 5.8S ribosomal RNA, internal transcribed spacer 2, and large subunit ribosomal RNA". The record is from RNAcentral.